This is a long non-coding RNA of Anguilla rostrata (American eel), 3795 nucleotides long. RefSeq lists it as uncharacterized. NCBI's taxonomy places the organism in Eukaryota, Metazoa, Chordata, Actinopteri, Anguilliformes, Anguillidae. The record is from RefSeq and is a predicted model, not a curated record. The transcript is spliced from 3 exons.
AGGACUGGUGAAGGCCAGCUGGUGUUUGUGCGGGCAGUACUCUGGUCGUCUUGGAAAUGAGUCAGUAAGUGGAGGGCGCAGACCCUCCUCCCCGCACUGGCCGUAGUACCUGAGCGUUCCCGCGGCAAAUCCGCGAGCCGCAGCAGCUGUGCGCGUUUGGCCGAGCGCCGGCCCGACCGCGGAAUUACCGAGGACGAGCCAGCGCAGCUGGUGUUGCAUCUCAUUGGCGCUUCUGCCUGUGUUCCAUGUUUCACACCUCGCUGUUCUACAAAAACAUUGAGUUAUUUUCCAUGAGCAAUAGCGCGAGAACCGCUUUACUCCAUAAAGAAAGAACGACCGGCAAUAUUUCUGAGGUUUAACAAUUUCAAAGAAAAGAGAUUUGACUCCGGAUGCAAAUUUAACGCAUGUGUCAGCACCGGUUUCCCAAUCCUGGUAAAGUGGUCCCCUGUGGAUGCUGUUUUUUUUUUUUUUUGUUCCAAUCAUAAUUAUCAUCUUUAAGUAUAAGUUGUUCAUUUUUUUUGGCACUUUUGAUGUCUAAUUUAUCAUCUUAAUGUCACAUGUCAGAAACAGACAUUCCUGCUACAAAGAAUGCAUAUUUCAUAUUAAUGAAAAAACUUCACGACGAUCAUCUCUCAGGUAAUUAAUUCUUUAAUUUUCCGCAAUGUGCUGUGGUUGGAAAAUCGGCCCUUUGAAAAGAGGUUGAAUCUUCUGCUUGAUGGAACACAGCUGAAAUGAACAAAGUCCUGACUGCCAUGGACAUGACAGCGGCUGCAUUUAUAAAAUAAUUAUGAUAAAAUUGUAUCUUAAAUAGCAUCCUAUGCAGAAAACCAUGACUAAGUAGUUAUUUAUAAGGUCACACUUUGACGUGGAUAUGAUCGUAUCUCUACGUUAAUUUUACACUUGACGUAAGCUAAUUACCUGCUGGUUAUGUGGACGUACUGCGCGUUUCAUGGUUGUGCGCAAAUCCCUUAAUUAGGCUGUGUGUGCACUUUAGAAAUAACAUUUAACGGAUAAUCAGUUUUAUGCAUGAUGAGUGAAAGAAUCAUGAUCAAUGCCACGUGUGUUUCAAGGCAUGAUAAGACGUUCUAUCGUGUGCUACAUGAGAAAACAUAUUGACUCAUGGCUGCACUCACAUUAUUGGAGUUCAAAUUGAAGUUCAUUUGAAGUUCAUUGGUUUACACAUCACAGCGACCAGAUAUCAAGUGAUACAUAUUCACAGAUGGGGACGGGGAGAUUUCUUCUGCAGAUUUUGAGCAGGGUGCCUAUCCCAGCAUGCAUUGGGGGAGCAGCAGACACCCUGGACAGGUUUCCAAUCCAUUGCAGGGCACACACACACCUUUUUGCUCACCCCAUCAUACCAAUGGGAAAUUUAGACUCUCCAGUUAGUCGAACCUGCAUGUCUUUGGACAGUGGGAGGAAACGGGAGAUCCCGGGGGAGACCCACGCAGACACGGGGAGAACAUGCAAACUCCACACACAAGGCCCUGAACAGGAUUCAAACCUCGGCAACUUCUGCUGUUCACUGCACCGCAGUGCCACCGCAUUUGGACAUUCUAGUGAGAAAUGUUUUUCUGUGCCCCAUUAUGUAAUACAGUAAAAUACUGUGUUAUUUCCCUUAUUAAGUAUCAGAGUUAUUGAUGGUGAAUACAGUGCCAAUGUGUAUUGUUUGUCAUACAAAUGCUUAUUUGCUGAAAUUUUAUGCUCAUCCUGUCAAAAGCCAGUAUGCGGUAUUCUGAAAAUAUAAAUCUUUCUUGUAAUGUGAUUGAAUGCAAUUACUUAUGUUUUUACAAGUUUCAACUCUGGGUCAUAUCUGAUGCUAGUCAUGUUCAGGUGGUGUUCUCACAUAAAGAAAGGUUACAACUAAUGAACAAACAAAAAAAUUGAAUAGUUCCAGUAAUUACAAUAUUAAUGUGAUGGCAUUUUAACAUUUAUGUCUAAUUUGGUCAUCAGAAGUUGAGAGAAAAAGUUGAAGUAGAUUUCCAAAAGAUGCCUGGAUGUUUCUGUGACGCCAGACACUUUCCAGAAGCUUCCAUUUACUGCACAUCAGUAUUAGCAGUUUGUACCAUGUCCUAUUGUAACCGUUCAUUUCAGACCAUUAAAACAGAAGGCUCGUGGUACUGUAAUGGAAAUUGGCAUGUAUGCAUCCUGUCAUGCCAAUAUUGUGUGAGGAUUUAGCCUACUUGCCUGCUCACAUGGAGGAACCUGUUGAUUUUACAUGAUGUUCAAAUAACCUGGAAGUAGUUUUGACCCAUUUUAUUGGUACAGUGGAGCCCGGGCCCAUUAAAAAGCAAUAGCCCAGUGAGCAAAAGCCUGAAUCUAGAUGUCAGAAAUCCAAGUUGAGAUAACGGUUUGACAUAAACAGACUAUGUUAACCCCAGUACACCUCAGGUUUUACCUGGAUAUAGCCUGCCUAUUUCCUAGUUGGCUAGAAAAGUUUACAUUUUCAAUCAAAUGUAGCUGGGUUUUCACCUGAAUGCCUAGAUUCUGUUUCUCCAACUUUUCACUGCAGAAAUGUUCACUGGCAAGUGGGGUCUAGGAAGCAGGGUCAUUAAAAAUCAAAAAUGCAAAAAUGUCAUAUAGGUAUUCCUUCGGAUCAAACUAUUGCAUACCACUGCUAUAGUGCUGUGUCCCAUGAUUCAUCUGCUGUGACUCAUCUUUUUUGUGGUAAACCAGCCGCUAUUGUAUAUAUUUAGCAAGGGAAUGUACAGUUGGUUAGUGGGAAGGGGAAUGUGCUGCUGUCUUAGCUCCUGAAGCAUUUGGUCGCUGCUUGGCACAGAAGCGGCUCUUUUAUUCGUUUUUAUUUCAGAGCCUCUUGCUGUAUAAAGUUUCCAUUUCUGUCCCUUUCAUCGCUUAAGCGCAGUUUAUAGCCAGGAAAGAACUUUGGAUGUGCAGGCUCUCUCACACUCUGCUUUGACCUUGGGAAAAGCUGAACGUUUCCAGAACGUUCUUAAUGAUUCUGUGUUUGUAUGCAUUUGUGUGUGUGUGUAUAUGUGUGCGUGCGUGCGUGCGUGCGUGUGCAUGCGCGUGCGUGCAUGCAUGUGUUUUGUAUGGCUCAGUGAACACAUGGGGUUCAACAUUCCUAAAGCACUAGAGCUGAGAAUGGAAGAUAACUCUAUAGAACAUUUCUCUCAUUAACAGCAGUGUUACAGGAUAAAUACUCAGUGACGGGGUCCUUAACUGAGCAGACAUUUCCCACAGGGUCCAGAACCCCAGGGGUGGAAACAGAUUUUGCUACCCCAUAAUGACCAAUAUUUUAUCAUUAUUCAGGGAUCCCACUUGACUUCCAUGUUUGUGGUAGGAUUGGGAGGAGGGGUAGGGGGGUAGGUAUUUGGGACAGAAUGACAUCAGCAUAUUCAUAUUCUCCAGACAACAGUCCCCACUUCCUGUGUCAUUAAUACUGUAUUGCCCUCCAGUGUGAUUGCACAGGAUUUAAAACCGUUUUGAAGCCUCCUCUGAAAAAUGAGCACAUACUGUUCUCAGACAAUUGAAUAUCAAGCCUUGUGCUAAGCCUAGCAUGAUCUUGAACAGCACAACAGUGUCUGGGUCCGCCACCCAUACUCACUUAAUGCGAUUGUGAUUUCAGAUAGCCUACACACUGUCAGGGAAAGUUUUGGGAGCUGAUACAAGCAUUUCUUUUUUGAUCAAACACUUGCAGUUUUGGGGGAAAAUUUAUACAAAUCCAAGUGGACAUGCAGAGAAUAAAUAUUUGCAGAUUUAAAGCAUGAUUAGGGGGAGGGGUUCCCAUAACAACUGUAUGCUCUAAAAUGAUAUAGGAAGACCAAUUCAGUGAGCAAA